This is a long non-coding RNA of Betta splendens (Siamese fighting fish), 992 nucleotides long. RefSeq lists it as uncharacterized. Lineage: Eukaryota; Metazoa; Chordata; Actinopteri; Anabantiformes; Osphronemidae. The record is from RefSeq and is a predicted model, not a curated record. The transcript is spliced from 5 exons.
GUAUUAUCAUAAAUCUAUUAUUUGUUUCACACGGUAAAGGAAAAUAAUCAAAUUACUUACAGUAAUAGUAUUAAUAAGUAUUUAUUUAAUUAAGCUUUAACAUUUGUACCUUUUUAUAAGAUUGUGUACUCAUUUCACAGCACAUAAUUGGUUUCCUAAUUUAUUACAGCUAUUUUGACUUGAAACCUGUUCUUUAUCAUCUAAAAUGUGUCUCUUGGUGUUUACCUCCAAUGGCCAUUCUGUGAAAGUGUCCCAUUCUAGAGCUGAGAAGAGACAGCAGGACAGGGAAUCAUCUGCUAGUGUCGCGUCAGAUGUCUACAUGUCCACAAGUUGUUUAAGAAAAAGUAAGAUAAGACUAUUGCAAACACAAGGCAAGAAGUUAUCAGAGAUGAACCCUUCAUCACCGAGUUCAAAACCAGAUGGCCUGCUCUCUUCUGUGUUUCUGAGAAUAAAUUUAAGAGGACUACAACAGUUUGCUGCAACAGUUCUUCUCCAUGCUGGAUGGUUAUUCUUCAGACCUGAAAACGGUGUUUGGCAAGGAAGGCGGCAUUCAAGGACAAAAGAUUAAGAGCAUCAUGGUUCCCAUAACCCAGACUAACUCCAUUGAUGUCAGAAGAGUACAUCCUUUAAGCCCAGUGUGUGUUCCUCAAUGAAGAUCCUGGCAACCUUGUGAAAGAAUGGAUGAUCGUGGACGCCUUGAAGAAGCCAUGAUAGAGACAAUUCUUGAAGUUUUUGUCAUUCACAAAGAUGCAGAGGCAGAUGAUGACCCUGAAGAUGUAGUCAUCGUUUCAAGUCCUGGAUGAGUUGGGUAGUGUCCCACUUGCUGUGUUGUUGUUUGCUCUUGUUAUAUGCUCUCAACCUCAGCUACCCUCCACUAAAAGUUGUUUGAAAUAUUGGCCCAAUGCUGUAUGUACAAUACUGGAUGUUAGUGACAUUUUGUAGCUGCCUUUGACAUUUGAAAGCUGUUUUAUUGUUUUUAUGGAGCUUAUAAA